AAAUAUGAACUUUUAAACAUGAUUCAGUUAAAAUGGAGGGAACUACAUGUAUAUAACCAUUUCUAACAGUUGCAAACUUUCAAGUCUUGGAGUCACAUGAGAUGUUUCAACUCAAAGGAUGUCAGAUGAGGGAAAAGUGAUAAAUGUACUGUUGAACAGAACUAUCCUGUAUCCAUCGGAGAGGUCACACCACAAGUCAAGAAGAUGUUGCAUCAUGUGAAGUGAAGGAUAUA
This is a long non-coding RNA of Ruditapes philippinarum (Manila clam), 233 nucleotides long. RefSeq lists it as uncharacterized. The record is from RefSeq and is a predicted model, not a curated record. NCBI's taxonomy places the organism in Eukaryota, Metazoa, Mollusca, Bivalvia, Venerida, Veneridae. The transcript has 3 exons.